UACGUAGGUGGCAAGCGUUAUCCGGAUUUACUGGGUGUAAAGGGCGUGUAGGCGGGACUGCAAGUCAGAUGUGAAAACCACGGGCUCAACCUGUGGCCUGCAUUUGAAACUGCAGUUCUUGAGUACUGGAGAGGCAGACGGAAUUCCUAGUGUAGCGGUGAAAUGCGUAGAUAUUAGGAGGAACACCAGUGGCGAAGGCGGUCUGCUGGACAGCAACUGACGCUGAGGCGCGAAAGCGUGGGGAGCAAACAGG
This 253-nucleotide ribosomal RNA is filed under the name uncultured bacterium. Its description in RNAcentral is "partial 16S ribosomal RNA". It matches the Rfam family "Bacterial small subunit ribosomal RNA", at positions 524 to 776 of the family's 1533-position model. The record is from RNAcentral.